CUUGACACUGAACAUUGAGCCUUGAUGUGUAGGAUAGGUGGGAGGCUUUGAAGCGUGGACGCCAGUCUGCGUGGAGCCGACCUUGAAAUACCACCCUUUAAUGUUUGAUGUUCUAACGUGGACCCGUUACCCGGGUUGCGGACAGUGUCUGGUGGGUAGUUUGACUGGGGCGGUCUCCUCCUAAAGAGUAACGGAGGAGCACGAAGGUUGGCUAAUCCUGGUCGGACAUCAGGAGGUUAGUGCAAUGGCAUAAGCCA
Molecule: ribosomal RNA, 257 nt
Filed under: Salmonella enterica subsp. enterica serovar Newport
Lineage: Bacteria; Pseudomonadati; Pseudomonadota; Gammaproteobacteria; Enterobacterales; Enterobacteriaceae
Also listed under: 4 other names
Description: partial 23S ribosomal RNA
Rfam family: Bacterial large subunit ribosomal RNA
Source: RNAcentral